This 450-nucleotide ribosomal RNA is filed under the name uncultured Scutellospora. Its description in RNAcentral is "SSU rRNA". It matches the Rfam family "Eukaryotic small subunit ribosomal RNA", at positions 569 to 1025 of the family's 1831-position model. The record is from RNAcentral. Lineage: Eukaryota; Fungi; Glomeromycota; Glomeromycetes; Diversisporales; Gigasporaceae.
AGCAGCCGCGGUAAUUCCAGCUCCAAUAGCGUAUAUUAAAGUUGUUGCAGUUAAAAAGCUCGUAGUUGAAUUUCGGGGUUCUUCCGUUGGUCAGGCUAACAAGUCUGUACUAGCGUGUAGAAUCUCUACCUUCUGGGGAACCAUCAUGUUAUUAAUUUAGCGUGGUGGGAAACCAGGACCUUUACCUUGAAAAAUUAGAGUGUUCAAAGCAGGCUUACGUCUGAAUACAUUAGCAUGGAAUAAUAAAAUAGGACGGUGGUCCUGUUUUGUUGGUUUCUGAAUCACCGUAAUGAUUAAUAGGGAUAGUUGGGGGCAUUAGUAUUCAAUUGUCAGAGGUGAAAUUCUUGGAUUUAUUGAAGACUAACUUCUGCGAAAGCAUUUGCCAAGGAUGUUUUCAUUAAUCAAGAACGAAAGUUAGGGGAUCGAAGACGAUCAGAUACCGUCGUAGUC